GGCUCAGAUUGAACGCUGGCGGAAUGCUUUACACAUGCAAGUCGAACGGCAGCACGGACUUCGGUCUGGUGGCGAGUGGCGAACGGGUGAGUAAUAUAUCGGAACGUGCCCAGUCGUGGGGGAUAACGUAGUGAAAAUUACGCUAAUACCGCAUACGAUCUAAGGAUGAAAGCGGGGAUCGCAAGACCUCGCGCGAUUGGAGCGGCCGAUAUCAGAUUAGGUAGUUGGUGAGGUAAAGGCUCACCAAGCCAACGAUCUGUAGCUGGUCUGAGAGGACGACCAGCCACACUGGAACUGAGACACGGUCCAGACUCCUACGGGAGGCAGCAGUGGGGAAUUUUGGACAAUGGACGCAAGUCUGAUCCAGCCAUUCCGCGUGCAGGACGAAGGCCUUCGGGUUGUAAACUGCUUUUGUACAGAACGAAAAGGUCUCUAUUAAUACUAGGGGCUCAUGACGGUACUGUAAGAAUAAGCACCGGCUAACUACGUG
This 490-nucleotide ribosomal RNA is filed under the name uncultured bacterium. RNAcentral's name for it is "bacterial SSU rRNA". It matches the Rfam family "Bacterial small subunit ribosomal RNA", at positions 21 to 507 of the family's 1533-position model. The record is from RNAcentral.